Non-coding RNA from Aegilops tauschii subsp. strangulata, 1457 nucleotides. Lineage: Eukaryota; Viridiplantae; Streptophyta; Magnoliopsida; Poales; Poaceae. The record is from RefSeq and is a predicted model, not a curated record.
GUAGACAUCAUUUGGCACCAAGAAGAUGACCAGAGCAUGCGUUGUCGGUGGUGACCACGGGGCUAUGCCAGCCAAAUCGGUGGUCUGCGCACUGUUGGCCACAGUGGCGCCGCUCCGUCCGGUUCUGGCUCGUCCAAGCUUGUCAACCAGCUCAGCCUCAUCGUCGCCGUGCGCCUUGGCCCGUUUCCCCUUCGUUUUCUUCCUCGUCGAGCCGUCGCUGUCGCCGCACAGUCCCUGCCCGUGUGCACCGUCGCUUCCUCGCUCUUGUCCCCUUCUCCCUCUCGUCCACGAGCGCCCCUCGUCUCCGUGAGCCCCUGCGCAUCGUCCGCAUCCCCCUCGUCGUGUCCCCGUCGCUUCCUGUGGCCUUUGGCCGCGCAUGCACGUCGCCGGCGCGUGGACACGUAGCCGUGCCGCGUGUCACCUCCUCCCCUCCCCUAGAGCUCAUCCCCGUGGCUAUUUAAGCCCGUCCCGAGCUCCCUCGCAGUCCUCAAGCCUCCCCAAGCCCUUCACUCGUCCCCGGAGUCGCUCUCCGAUCCCCACCAUCACCAUGGCCGCAGUUUCGGGCUUCGCUCGAUCCCGGCAACGCCGUGCCACCCUCACCGUUCCACCACCACCUAUGCGUUCCCCGAGGUCCGGCGCACCUUCCCGUAGCCUUGCCCACCCAGUUCCCCCACCGGAGCCCCCUGUUCGGCGGAGUCCGAAGACCACCUCCGCGGCGAGCCCUGCUGCUCCUUCUCCCGUGCUCCUCGCCGGCAACGGACACGACCACGGGAUGCGCCUCUCGCUCCUGAGCUCGUGGAUAGGUCGGCCGUCGUCUGAGGCGGCCGGAGCCGCCGGCAAUCGCCGUCGAGGCGGGCAUCUCCCUCGGCCAGGCGCGCGUACGUGCGGGAGGAAGAAGAAGCCAGGACAGGCGGGCCCCACCCUACGAGACCCACCUGUCGGCGAGAGGAGGACGUGGCUCCGCUGGCCACGUCGGAUAAGUGGACACGCCCGCCCGGGGAAGCCGUUUCCCUGCUCUGGAAACGUGUUCCUGGUGAAUACGUUUUCCAUGUCAGAAAACGUAUUGCCUGGGCAGUUCGGCCCAUAAUGCGUUUCCCUGUGCGGAAAACGUAUUCAGCCCAAAGGCACGUUUAGUUUUUCCUCCAGGGGCCUGUUUGCUGAAAAACUUUCACCGAUAGGUCCCUGAACUUCAACCCUGCGUAUCUCGACAACCGUAACUCCGAUUGAGCCCCCUCCGAGAGAGAACUGUUUCCGGCAAAUCUUUUCGCGAUCGUUCCGCACUUUUUUCGGAGUAAUCCUCGACCCCAGGCAAGCCAACCUCUUAUCAUGAGCCCUGAACUUGCGUGUUGACUUUGCUGGUACCUCGUGUGUGUGUGCUUAGUUGCAGUAGUUUCUGUCUGUUUCGUCUGCCGUUAUUUCAGUUGUGAUAUAUGUUAGUACUGCUUGCUUACCUCUCA